GCCCCGCACACAACCGAAUGACGUAGUUAGCUCAUAGAUUACUCGGCCUGUGUGCCACGUAGGUUUGGUAGUUUUUAGGGUCAACAGAUAUAUAAAAUGUUUACAAGAUAAUUGUUUACAAGAAAGUGUUUUCAAGGAAGUGUUUACAAGGAUGUUAUGAAGGCUAUGGAUGUUUGGAGAUGGUGUGAGUAUAUGGUGAGAGUAGAGUGUGCAGGUGUUGAGAUGUUGAUGUAUGUUUAUACAAUGAAGGAAACUUUUCUAAUAUAGACUGAGUGAGAAUAUUCUCCUCUUUAAAAAAUUAAAAUCUUUACAGAUGUAUGGUAUGGACAUCUCCUUGGUACUGUCAUCUUUUACUGUUGCUGAAAUUGUCAGCACUGUUUCUGAAACGUGAUAUGACUUAUUUGUCUUGUUUUUGCUUUGCAUGUGAACUUGCUUGUCUUCUUUUGCUUUGUCUUGAUAAAUGCAUGUAAGCUUGCUGCAUGACUAUCCCUUGGAGUCCCUUUUUGCUUUUAUUUUGAACAUGCAUGUGAUUUUUCUGAAAUGGUUUUCUUCCACUUCCUUGUCUUCUUUCCCAUACCCAAUUUGGGUAUUAUUAAAAAAUUUGUCGUGAUGGUUAAAAUGAAACAUUUGAGGGUGUUUUGGUUAGUUUUCCACAAAAACAAUACUAUUAAAAAUCCUUGCUUUUUCCUUUUUGUUUUUCACCUUACCUUGGGUAUGUGUGUGUACAUAUAUAUAUAUAUAUAUAUAUAUAUAUAUAUAUAUAUAUAUAUAUUUUAACAAAUGAUAUUAUCUACAUUAAAAAUGUGGGAUAUCAAUAAUGUGAUUCUAAUUCACAUUUAGCGAUAAUCAAACUUAAGACCUCUCAUUUACAAGUAAAAAGGAAUACCAAUAAACCGUAAUACUGACAUCUCUUACCUUAUGUUUUUAUGUCUAAAUACCAAGGUUCUAAAAAUCGCUAGGCGCUAGUCGGGCGG
Molecule: long non-coding RNA, 974 nt
Filed under: Malus domestica (apple)
Lineage: Eukaryota; Viridiplantae; Streptophyta; Magnoliopsida; Rosales; Rosaceae
Description: long non-coding RNA (MDOM_LNC007709)
Source: RNAcentral